Molecule: long non-coding RNA, 526 nt
Filed under: Homo sapiens (human)
Lineage: Eukaryota; Metazoa; Chordata; Mammalia; Primates; Hominidae
Description: non-protein coding lnc-TRIM32-8:1
Source: RNAcentral
GGCCCAUGUGGGUAUGUGGCCAACCUUUGAAGGAACUGGAAACCAACUUAAGCUCCUCAGAUUCAGGUCUCCUUCAGUAGACCUAAUCAGCAUCUGAAGCUUGUUAGCAGAUUCAUGGUUCCUUAGGAGCCCUCACUACCCUGUCUUUUGUACUCUGGGCAGGCUGAUCUGGUUGAGGAGGUUAAGAAGAAACCCUGGUUUGAAUAGAAUUAAAUGAGGUCAGCAAUGUGGGUUUGACACGAAGCCUUUGAAAGAUAGGCUAUAUAAAGUCAAGAUAUUUCUGUCCCAGAGGAAACAUAUGCCAAUAUAUAGCCACCUCCCAGCCCCACCCAAGCUUCCCCUUUGUAAACCUUCAGCAGGUAAGCACUCCUGCUCCCCCUGUUCCAAGAAACUAACGUUUAAGUACAAAGAUCACGCUUUGUUGUGUGUGGGGGUGUUUCUUUUUGUUGCUGUUUGGAAGAAUUGUGAUGUGGCAUAAAGACUGUUGUUAUUGAACCCAUCUCUAAAUAAACAGCUAAACUUAAAA